Molecule: ribosomal RNA, 254 nt
Filed under: uncultured bacterium
Lineage: Bacteria
Description: partial 16S ribosomal RNA
Rfam family: Bacterial small subunit ribosomal RNA
Source: RNAcentral
UACGUAGGGUGCAAGCGUUGUCCGGAUUUAUUGGGCGUAAAGAGCUCGUAGGCGGUCUGUCGCGUCGGAUGUGAAAACCCAGGGCUCAACCCUGGGCCUGCAUUCGAUACGGGCAGACUAGAGUGUGGCAGGGGGAGACUGGAAUUCCUGGUGUAGCGGUGAAAUGCGCAGAUAUCAGGAGGAACACCGGUGGCGAAGGCGGGUCUCUGGGCCAAUACUGACGCUGAGGAGCGAAAGCGUGGGGAGCGAACAGG